GUGGGGAAUAUUGGACAAUGGGCGCAAGCCUGAUCCAGCCAUGCCGCGUGUGUGAAGAAGGCCUUUUGGUUGUAAAGCACUUUAAGCGAGGAGGAGGCUCCUUUAGUUAAUACCUAAAGAGAGUGGACGUUACUCGCAGAAUAAGCACCGGCUAACUCUGUGCCAGCAGCCGCGGUAAUACAGAGGGUGCAAGCGUUAAUCGGAUUUACUGGGCGUAAAGCGCGCGUAGGUGGCCAAUUAAGUCAAAUGUGAAAUCCCCGAGCUUAACUUGGGAAUUGCAGUCGAUACUGGUUGGCUAGAGUAUGGGAGAGGAUGGUAGAAGUCCAGGUGUAGCGGUGAAAUGCGUAGAGAUCUGGAGGAAUACCGAUGGCGAAGGCAGCCAUCUGGCCUAAUACUGACACUGAGGUGCGAAAGCAUGGGGAGCAAACAGGAUUAGAAACCCUUGUAGUCC
Molecule: ribosomal RNA, 451 nt
Filed under: uncultured bacterium
Lineage: Bacteria
Description: partial 16S ribosomal RNA
Rfam family: Bacterial small subunit ribosomal RNA
Source: RNAcentral